UGCUUGACGACCAUAGAGCGUUGGAACCACCUGAUCCCAUCCCGAACUCAGUAGUGAAACGACGCAUCGCCGAUGGUAGCUGUGGGGUCUCCCCAUGUGAGAGUAGGUCAUCGUCAAGCUC
Molecule: ribosomal RNA, 121 nt
Filed under: Stutzerimonas stutzeri
Lineage: Bacteria; Pseudomonadati; Pseudomonadota; Gammaproteobacteria; Pseudomonadales; Pseudomonadaceae
Source: RNAcentral